UACGGAGGAUCCGAGCGUUAUCCGGAUUUAUUGGGUUUAAAGGGUGCGUAGGCGGUUUGAUAAGUUAGAGGUGAAAUGUCGGGGCUCAACCCCGAAACUGCCUCUAAUACUGUUGGACUAGAGAAUAGUUGCGGUAGGCGGAAUGUAUGGUGUAGCGGUGAAAUGCUUAGAGAUCACACAGAACACCGAUUGCGAAGGCAGCUUACCAAACUAUAUCUGACGUUGAGGCACGAAAGCGUGGGUAGCAAACAGG
RNAcentral lists this ribosomal RNA (253 nucleotides) under uncultured bacterium. RNAcentral describes it as "partial 16S ribosomal RNA". It matches the Rfam family "Bacterial small subunit ribosomal RNA", at positions 524 to 776 of the family's 1533-position model. The record is from RNAcentral.